UUCAUUCUUUACUGAAUGCCUAUAUUGGCCU
This 31-nucleotide non-coding RNA is filed under the name Mus musculus (house mouse). Lineage: Eukaryota; Metazoa; Chordata; Mammalia; Rodentia; Muridae. The record is from RNAcentral.